AAAACAGAGAAUAAAC
RNAcentral lists this small RNA (16 nucleotides) under Arabidopsis thaliana (thale cress). RNAcentral describes it as "ATSL294680". The record is from RNAcentral. Lineage: Eukaryota; Viridiplantae; Streptophyta; Magnoliopsida; Brassicales; Brassicaceae.